AAAAAGAUUAGGCUUUCAUCACAUCUUCAAAAAAUAUAUAUUCACAAAACGAUUCUGUCUUUCCAACAGCCACCUCAAGGUGAGAAAGGUGAACAAGGACCCCCUGGAAAGCCUGGCCCAAAGGGAGAUCCAGGACUUCCUGGUUUUGCAGGACCAGCUGGCCCAGCGGGACUACAGGGCGAUAAAGGCGAUGCUGGGUUGCCUGGGCCAGUGGGACCAGUAGGACCACCAGUAAGUUUUUUUUGUUGUUUUCCAGAUGAAAUGAUGGUCUUCAGUUGUAUGUACAGUAUUG
This 292-nucleotide long non-coding RNA is filed under the name Astyanax mexicanus (Mexican tetra). RNAcentral's name for it is "lncRNA (ENSAMXG00005020986.1)". The record is from RNAcentral. Lineage: Eukaryota; Metazoa; Chordata; Actinopteri; Characiformes; Acestrorhamphidae.